Molecule: ribosomal RNA, 498 nt
Filed under: uncultured bacterium
Lineage: Bacteria
Description: partial 16S ribosomal RNA
Rfam family: Bacterial small subunit ribosomal RNA
Source: RNAcentral
AGUGAACGCUGGCGGCGUGCCUAAUACAUGCAAGUCGAACGCGAAAGUCCUUCGGGAUGAGUAAAGUGGCGCACGGGUGAGUAAUAGAUGAGAACAUGCCCUGAGGUGGGGAAUAACAGUUGGAAACGACUGCUAAUACCGCAUGGUAUCGUAAGAUUAAAGGUGGCCUCUGCAUAUGCUACCGCCACAGGAUUGGCUCAUCUCCCAUUAGCUAGUUGGUAGGGUAACGGCCUACCAAGGCAACGAUGGGUAACUGGUCUGAGAGGAUGAUCAGUCACACUGGAACUGAGACACGGUCCAGACUCCUACGGGAGGCAGCAGUGGGGAAUAUUGCACAAUGGACGAAAGUCUGAUGUAGCAACGCCGCGUGAGUGAAGAAGGCCCUUGGGUUGUAAAGCUCUUUAGCCUGGAAAGAAGCCUAGUGAGGUGAAUAAUCUCAUUAGGUGACGGUACCAGGAGAAUAAGCACCGGCUAAUUUCGUGCCAGCCGCCGCAGUAA